Molecule: ribosomal RNA, 465 nt
Filed under: Vreelandella stevensii
Lineage: Bacteria; Pseudomonadati; Pseudomonadota; Gammaproteobacteria; Oceanospirillales; Halomonadaceae
Description: partial 16S ribosomal RNA
Rfam family: Bacterial small subunit ribosomal RNA
Source: RNAcentral
CCUACGGGUGGCUGCAGUGGGGAAUAUUGGACAAUGGGCGAAAGCCUGAUCCAGCCAUGCCGCGUGUGUGAAGAAGGCCUUCGGGUUGUAAAGCACUUUCAGUGGGGAAGAAAGCCUUGGGGCUAAUACCCUCGAGGAAGGACAUCACCCACAGAAGAAGCACCGGCUAACUCCGUGCCAGCAGCCGCGGUAAUACGGAGGGUGCGAGCGUUAAUCGGAAUUACUGGGCGUAAAGCGCGCGUAGGCGGUCUGAUAAGCCGGUUGUGAAAGCCCCGGGCUCAACCUGGGAACGGCAUCCGGAACUGUCAGGCUAGAGUGCAGGAGAGGAAGGUAGAAUUCCCGGUGUAGCGGUGAAAUGCGUAGAGAUCGGGAGGAGUACCAGUGGCGAAGGCGGCCUUCUGGACUGACACUGACGCUGAGGUGCGAAAGCGUGGGUAGCAAACAGGAUUAGAUACCCCAGUAGUC